GUCUAUUAAUUAGGGUUCCAGCCAAAUAACUCUCCUCCAAAAUUUUAAUCCCUGCUUCUCACCCGCUCCCCUGCGUCAAGCCAUUCAAAGAACCCUGCUUCCAUACAUUUGCUCUGAUCGAUUUGGUGGUCUUCCAUGGUAGAUUCGUAAACAUCUCCAUAUAUUCAAGUGCAGAGCUGCGCUAUGUUGUGCGAUAUGUACUAUGGCUUAUGAGACAAAUGAGGAAGGGGAUAAUCUCAAGGCAUCAGCAUAUUCCUCACUUUAUUAUGAAUCUUUACUCCAGAAACUUGAAUAACAAAAUGAGAUGGAUAUUUCAUAUGUUGUGAACAAAUCUCCAAAGAAAAAUAAAAAAAUUUAAAAAGAUGCAAGCCAA
Helianthus annuus (common sunflower) is the source of this 373-nucleotide long non-coding RNA. RefSeq lists it as uncharacterized. The record is from RefSeq and is a predicted model, not a curated record. Lineage: Eukaryota; Viridiplantae; Streptophyta; Magnoliopsida; Asterales; Asteraceae. The transcript has 3 exons.